This is an RNA transcript of Acinonyx jubatus (cheetah), 2704 nucleotides long. It is a transcript of the gene named chromosome D4 C9orf50 homolog, with no coding region annotated. NCBI's taxonomy places the organism in Eukaryota, Metazoa, Chordata, Mammalia, Carnivora, Felidae. The transcript is spliced from 7 exons. The record is from RefSeq and is a predicted model, not a curated record.
CCAGGAGCCAGCUCAGAGCUGACAAUAAUCUGGGGGUGGGGUGUGAUAGGGAGGAACCAGGCUCCAAGACCUCCCCCCUGACCCCCAACCCAGUGUCAAGAUGCUGGGGGCAGGCGUGGAGCUCUGUCUCCCAAAGGGGAAGUUUGUUAAAAAUAGGUGUCUUGGCCCCACCCCAGACCUACUGAGUUAGAACCUGGGGCAUCCGCAUUUUCAGCAAGCUCUCCACCCAAGGGGCCCUGGGGCCCCAGCAGGACCGCGCAACUGCUGGGCGGGUCUCUCCUUUCAAGCCUAAUUCCCCGUGGUUUCCUAAUUCCCCGUGGAGCGCUAACAGCGUGAACAGGACAGCAGCACUCCCGUGUGCUGAGCCACAAAGGGGGCAGGUGCUCCGUCACCCCCAUUCUACAGAUAAAGGCACUAAGAAAAGGUAAUCGAUUGGCCUGUCCAAGGUUGCGAAGCUAGUAAGCAGCGGAACUGAGACUAAAUCCUGAAUUUCAAAAAGUUUAAAAUGCUAACAACAUCGAUAAUAGUAGCGCGCCCCCUCACCUAGACGUCACAGCAACUCAGAGAGGUCACAAAUGACGUGACCAUUUGGCAGGUGAGGAAACAGAGGUUAGGCGAGCUCUAGCCUGAAGCCGCUCACUGCCUGGCGAACCGGGGGCGUUACCCCCAAACCACACGACCCGGCUCUGGACACUAUGGCCUGGGGGCUGGUCUACGCCCUCCUCUGCACUUUACAGGGCACCCCCCGCCCCCACUGAGGCGUGAGGACGCCCUGAGCUGAGCGCAGGGCCAGACAUGACCCGGCGUCACCCCAACCCCUGGACCCAGCAGGAGGCGCCCAAGGGGCUCCCCGGCGACCGCGCUCGCCGAAGGAAAGACCCGCUGCUGCCCAGUGUGCCCCUGCCCCAAAUCCGGGGAGUAUCUGGCGCGGGGGCCACCCGGGGCUCGAGGGCCUCGGGGAGCGACGACGGGUGGUGGGGCGGGUCCUCGCUCCCAGAGCUGGGGGUGGGUGUCAGGAGCUCCCCGCUGAGCCUGCCCACCCUGCCCACCGGGGCCCAGCGGGCGGCGCAGAACCGGGCGAAGCUGAGGUCGCUCCCGCUGCCGCCCCUGCGCCGGGCCGGUGCGCCCCGGGACCCCGCGCCCCGGCCUGGAGAGAGCGAGGACCCCUGCAGGGGCUCGGCCAGGGAGACCCCGGACUCCCUGCUCGCGCUCCAAGGAGAGCUCCUCCCCAGCAAGUUCCGGGAGUUCCUGCAGCGGACGGGGACAGAGUGCGUCCGGGCGACGCCACCGACAUCCUCAGCACGGCAAUCAAAAAAGAGUGUGUCAGAGCACUGCCAGCACCUUCCCCGGUGUCCCCACUGUUCCUUCCCUUCAGACCUGCGGGGUCAGUCAUCGUACUUCCAGAUUAGUCUUAAGAAGAUUUUGCUGCGUCGGAUACCUGCCCUGGGGACCCUGAAGAGAGAUCGCUCGCAAUUCAUCACCUUCAAAAAGGCCAACCAAUCCACGGACGGAUCGGGCUGGCCCUUCUGCAGCCUUGCCCUUGAGGCUGAAAUUAAUAGCAAUAAAUGCGUACUGGAUGCCUCAAGCCCCACGGUGUCCAGGCCCCCAAGCUCAAGGCUGUGCUCACUCACAGCUCCUCGGGAGAAGGCUCGGGGAAGAAGCGUAGGCGCUUCUGCCCCUUCCGCGUGCGAUUUGCUGAUGAGACCCUGCGGGACAGCGCGCUCCGCUACUGGGAACGUGCCUUGGCAGGGGCUGAAGAAGACGGGAAGCCACCGAAAGCAUCUUCUCCCCGUAUCCAUGAAGGCCUGCCUGGCUGAGGAGAUGCCCAGAAAGGUCCAGAAGAUCAAACCGUCUCUCUGGGGGAGGCAGGCACUGCCUGGUCCAGCAAAGAAGCCGGCAGCCACCGGGCCUGGGUUCUGGGAUGGAAGUUUGCUCUCAGCUCUUUGGCGGGGGAUGGAUGUGGUAGUGUCUGCGUUGGCAUAGUUUCCAGUGUUUUCUAAAGGUGUCAAGAGGCAGGUGGGAAGAAUACCGUGUCCUUGCUCUGGUAUAACCUUUAUCACCUGCCCUGCCCAUCCCCCCCCCCCCCCCCGCCCUGCCCCCUUCUCCAUCUGCCCGGCCUCUUCACUUCACAGGAUCUAGCUGCCCCAGGGCCUCCAACAGCUUGCAUCCAUUUAUUGAGCACCGACUGUGUGCAGUUUGAGCAGAGGCUGCUCCAAAGCCUAGCUGUGGGUUAAAGCCCCCAAAUCCCGGACCUUCGCUGAUUAGGAAGGGACUGCCUCCCCAGGCCCCUUAAGGUCAUAGGAAAUUGCAAAUAGAAGCUGCGGUUUCGCCCAACUUCUCGUCGUUUGAUGGGGAAGCCAAAGCCCCGAGAGCAGGUGACACACGGUGGCCGACAAGAGAAGCCGCGGUUCCCCCAGGGAGACACGGUUUCGUGGGAAAGGCAGUUGGCUGGAAGAAGCUUCCUUGUCAGCCACGGGCCCCAGGAGCUGUGGUCACAUCCCGGGGCGCCAGAGUGGGGCUCGGCUGCUGACUUCCCAGCCCCCUCCAUCCCUGCAGAAAUCUCGUCCGGCAGGGCCACAUCGAGAAGGGGAUAGCCACCGGGUCAAUGACAUCAGAACGGGUGUUCAGGAGUGUCGGGAGAUGGCUGGAGAGUUUGCCCAAAGCCCUGUGCCCCAGGGCCCAGGAGGAGGCCAUGGCCAGCAUC